UACGUAUGGAGCAAGCGUUAUCCGGAUUUACUGGGCGUAAAGGGAGCGUAGGCGGCCUGCCAAGUCUGAUGUGAAAUACCGGGGCUCAACCCCGGGGCUGCAUUGGAAACUGGCAGGCUGGAGUACAGUAGAGGUGGGCGGAAUUCGUGGUGUAGCGGUGAAAUGCUUAGAUAUCACGAAGAACUCCGAUUGCGAAGGCAGCUCACUGGACUGCAACUGACACUGAGGCUCGAAAGUGUGGGUAUCAAACAGG
This 253-nucleotide ribosomal RNA is filed under the name uncultured bacterium. Its description in RNAcentral is "partial 16S ribosomal RNA". It matches the Rfam family "Bacterial small subunit ribosomal RNA", at positions 524 to 776 of the family's 1533-position model. The record is from RNAcentral.